This 457-nucleotide ribosomal RNA is filed under the name uncultured organism. RNAcentral's name for it is "bacterial SSU rRNA". It matches the Rfam family "Bacterial small subunit ribosomal RNA", at positions 28 to 507 of the family's 1533-position model. The record is from RNAcentral.
GACGAACGCUGGCGGCAUGCCUAACACAUGCAAGUCGAACGGAAGUAGCAAUACUUUAGUGGCGAACGGGUGAGUAACACGUGAGCAACCUGCCUCAUACACUGGGAUAACAGUUGGAAACAACUGCUAAUACCGGAUAAGACCACACUGUGGCAUCACAGAGGGGUCAAAGUGACUUAGCGGUAUGAGAUGGGCUCGCGUCCAAUUAGCUAGUUGGUGGGGUAACGGCCCACCAAGGCGACGAUUGGUAGCCGACUUGAGAGAGUGAUCGGCCACACUGGAACUGAGACACGGUCCAGACUCCUACGGGAGGCAGCAGUGGGGAAUAUUGGGCAAUGGAGGAAACUCUUACCCAGCAAUGCCGCGUGAGUGAUGAAGGUCUUUGGAUUGUAAAGCUCUUUGAUUGGGGAAGAAAGCAAUGACGGUACCCAAAGAACAAGCCCCGGCUAACUAUGUG